RNAcentral lists this ribosomal RNA (492 nucleotides) under uncultured bacterium. Its description in RNAcentral is "partial 16S ribosomal RNA". It matches the Rfam family "Bacterial small subunit ribosomal RNA", at positions 29 to 507 of the family's 1533-position model. The record is from RNAcentral.
AGUGAACGCUGGCGGUAGGCCUAACACAUGCAAGUCGAACGGCAGCACAGUAAGAGCUUGCUCUUACGGGUGGCGAGUGGCGGACGGGUGAGGAAUACAUCGGAAUCUACUUUUUCGUGGGGGAUAACGUAGGGAAACUUACGCUAAUACCGCAUACGACCUACGGGUGAAAGCAGGGGAUCUUCGGACCUUGCGCGAUUGAAUGAGCCGAUGUCGGAUUAGCUAGUUGGCGGGGUAAAGGCACACCAAGGCGACGAUCCGUAGCUGGUCUGAGAGGAUGAUCAGCCACACUGGAACUGAGACACGGUCCAGACUCCUACGGGAGGCAGCAGUGGGGAAUAUUGGACAAUGGGCGCAAGCCUGAUCCAACCAUACCGCGUGGGUGAAGAAGGCCUUCGGGUUGUAAAGCCCUUUUGUUGGGAAAGAAAAGCAGCAGGUUAAUACCCCGCUGUUCUGACGGUACCCAAAGAAUAAGCACCGGCUAACUUCGUG